GACGAACGCUGGCGGCGUGCUUAACACAUGCAAGUCGAACGAUGAAGCCCAGCUUGCUGGGUGGAUUAGUGGCGAACGGGUGAGUAACACGUGAGUAACCUGCCCUUAACUCUGGGAUAAGCCUGGGAAACUGGGUCUAAUACCGGAUAGGAGCGUCCACCGCAUGGUGGGUGUUGGAAAGAUUUAUCGGUUUUGGAUGGACUCGCGGCCUAUCAGCUUGUUGGUGAGGUAAUGGCUCACCAAGGCGACGACGGGUAGCCGGCCUGAGAGGGUGACCGGCCACACUGGGACUGAGACACGGCCCAGACUCCUACGGGAGGCAGCAGUGGGGAAUAUUGCACAAUGGGCGAAAGCCUGAUGCAGCGACGCCGCGUGAGGGAUGACGGCCUUCGGGUUGUAAACCUCUUUCAGUAGGGAAGAAGCGAAAGUGACGGUACCUGCAGAAGAAGCACCGGCUAACUACGUG
Molecule: ribosomal RNA, 466 nt
Filed under: uncultured bacterium
Lineage: Bacteria
Description: partial 16S ribosomal RNA
Rfam family: Bacterial small subunit ribosomal RNA
Source: RNAcentral